AACGAACGCUGGCGGCAGGCCUAACACAUGCAAGUCGAACGCUCCGCAAGGGGAGUGGCGCACGGGUGAGUAACACGUGGGAACCUACCUUCUGGUACGGAACAACCAAGGGAAACUUUGGCUAAGACCGUAUACGACCUCCGGGUGAAAGAUUGAUCGCCGGAAGAGGGGCCCGCGUCCGAUUAGGUAGUUGGUGAGGUAACGGCUCACCAAGCCUUCGAUCGGUAGCUGGUCUGAGAGGAUGACCAGCCACACUGGGACUGAGACACGGCCCAGACUCCUACGGGAGGCAGCAGUGGGGAAUAUUGGACAAUGGGCGCAAGCCUGAUCCAGCGAUGCCGCGUGUGUGAAGAAGGCCUGCGGGUUGUAAAGCACUUUCAGUAGGGAAGAAAACCCGAAGUGCUAAUAAUCACUCGGUCUUGACGUUACUUAC
This 433-nucleotide ribosomal RNA is filed under the name uncultured bacterium. Its description in RNAcentral is "bacterial SSU rRNA". It matches the Rfam family "Bacterial small subunit ribosomal RNA", at positions 29 to 482 of the family's 1533-position model. The record is from RNAcentral.